GGUAGAUGGGCCAAGACCCUGGCCUUGAUGAAGGAUUGAUGAGCGGACCAGGGAGCCUUGAAGAAAAGGCACCAAAAAGCCAACAAGGUAACAAUAACAACAAGAGUAUGGAUCAGCAUUCAUCAGUCCCUUCAUUUUGCAAAGGGAGUGCAAGAAACUGUGAGCUUUUGGCCAGAAGAUGACCGGUCGCCUGUCAUCCACCACUCACGGGACAGGGGGAGAAAGACAGCGGCAGCGAACGAGGGACAGAAACAAAGGGCACCUGCUACAGGCGAACCUGGGACACGUGUCUAAAAAUAACACCUGCAGCUUCCUCUUUGGCUUUAAUUAUUUUAACACCCCUGGUGAGCUGUCUGCGAGCGCGGAUGGGAGCAUCUCCAGAGCCUCUCCGGCAGCCCCUGACGCUUGGUUUGUUACUUUAUUUAAAGCUGACACCCAGCGAGGGAGGGAAGCAAGAAGCUGAGGUCCAGGAGGGACAUGGGGAACAACGGCACAUCCACCUACGGCUGUCGGCAGGACGCCAGCUCCCCAGACAGCACGGCUACAGAGGAGUCUGAAAAGCGCCCCACGCUCAGACCUCCCGCCCUGCCUUCUCUGCAGGACCCAGCUCUUCUGAGCGUGAAGGCGGAGCUCGUGUCUUUUCUGCGGCACCAGGAACACAGACUCCAUCGGUGGCGACAGCAGUCGCAAUAGCGGGUAUCUCUGCUGGGCCUCUCCCGGAGAGGAAGUUUCUGGGAUGCUGGAUUCCGUACCCUGCGGUGGAUGUAGUCGCUUUCCGAAUGGUCACCGAGCUGCACCCUUGAGAUCCGGUGACUCCCUCUAUGUGAGCUACACCUCACGAAGUUGUGCCUUCCCACGAUCUUUAGCUCACAGGCUAUGAAAGAUGUCAGGUGGAGUGGGUGUUUGGCACCAUGGUGAAGAUGCCACUUGGGAUGCCUCCUCCUAUAUCAAGGUGCCUGUGUUCAAGUCCCCAGUCUCUUUCCCACCCAGCUUCCUGCUUACGCGCACCCUGGGAGGCAGCAGAUCAAGGAUGUGGGUCCCUGUCAACCCCGUUGGAGACCUGGAUGGAGUUCUGGGCUCCUGGCUUUGACUGGGCCAGCCCCAGCUGUUGUGGGCAUUUAAAGACUGGAGCAGUGGUUGGAAGAUCUCUCUGCCUUUUUUUUAAAGAUUUUUUUAAUUUGAAAAUCAAAGUUAGAGAGAGAGAGAGAUCUUCCAUUCACUGGUUCACACCCCAGAAAGUCACAACAUCCAGGGCUGGGCCGUGCUGAAGCCAGGAGCUUCUUCCAGGUCUCCCACGUGGGU
Molecule: non-coding RNA, 1302 nt
Organism: Oryctolagus cuniculus (rabbit)
Lineage: Eukaryota; Metazoa; Chordata; Mammalia; Lagomorpha; Leporidae
Source: RefSeq, a predicted model, not a curated record